Molecule: ribosomal RNA, 239 nt
Filed under: uncultured bacterium
Lineage: Bacteria
Description: partial 16S ribosomal RNA
Rfam family: Bacterial small subunit ribosomal RNA
Source: RNAcentral
CCGGCGCGACGGUGAGUAACGCGUAUGUAACUUGCCUAUCAGGGAGGGGACGACCGGCGAAGUCGGACUAAUACCGCAUGAAGCAGGGGCCCCGCAUGGGGAUAUUUGCUAAAGAUUCAUCGCUGAUAGAUAGGCAUGCGUUCCAUUAGGCAGUUGGCGGGGUAACGGCCCACCAAACCGACGAUGGAUAGGGGUUCUGAGAGGAAGGUCCCCCACAUUGGUACUGAGACACGGACCAA